This 3554-nucleotide long non-coding RNA is filed under the name Anas zonorhyncha (Eastern spot-billed duck). RNAcentral describes it as "lncRNA (ENSAZOG00000004826.1)". Lineage: Eukaryota; Metazoa; Chordata; Aves; Anseriformes; Anatidae. The record is from RNAcentral.
GCAUCUCAAAACUCUUUGGGAAAGGAUAUUUGUUGGAUGUUUACGUUAUGGUCUGUUUUAUUCCAUCUCUGUCCAAUCUAUAUGCCAUGGUGACACAGGUCAGUGAAAACACUGCAAGGAAAGAGCCAUCUGAGAAAUCUGGAGUGGACAGAAAGCUUGUGACAACUGUCAAACUGUCAGGAUUACAAAAGACCGUGGUCCCAUUGCAUGACAGAGGUCAGAAUUUACUGACGCUGGCUGUACGUGCUACGGAGAACAAAGUACUAAGGGUGCCCAUGGAGAAACCAAGACAGAGACCAAAACUUCCAUAUCAGGGGAAUCCUACAACACACUGGAUGGAGGCAUCAGCACAACCUUGUAGUCUCUUCUGCUUCUCCUUGUAUGCUAUGAGAGUUUCUUUAUAGGACAUUCAGAUCCGGAUGAACCAGUAUUUCUAACAGCUUGAAAGAAAGUAUUGCCCAGUUUAUUUGUUUGGAUUUUCAAAUUCUGGUGACAUGUACUGCAGUUUAUGGAUUUUAUGAUGUCCAAGAUAGCAUUGUCUUCAUCCAGGAGGUAAGUGACGAUGUCUAAUUAAUGAUAAAUGUUUUAAACACAUACUCACUGUAGUUACUAUAGACUUCAAGUUGAACUCAGCAAUUUAUCUUUCUUCCUGGCUCAUUAAACACUGUUUUGAGCUCCACUAUCAUACAGCUAAUGAUCAUGUCUUUAGUAGUCUUUGCAAAUCAGUCACCUCUGUCUUCAAAUUAGUUCUGAAAAAGACAGGGAAGUCUAAAAAUUUGCAGUCCUGCAGUCAGACUGCAGCUGUUUUUCAGACUCUAUUUCAUUGAAAUGCUGAGGUUUUCUCCCAGGGGUUGAUGAGCUUUCUCAGUAAAAGUUUCUCUCCUCUUGCUGGUCUGCAUGUGCAGGGUCCAAGAUUUAGUCUCAACUAUGUUGUCUGCUUUUAUUUAUAAUUUUUAUGGCUGGAUUAUCGGUAUUGACUGCUUCUCCUCAAAGGAGGAUUUCCCAUCAUAGAGGAGUCCCUGGUGGCACUGUAUAUAGAUAUUACUAAUGCAUCCAUCAGCAAAUUAUCUAGGCACCAAUUACAAAAUGGAGUCUCAGGUAGUGUGAAUAAUUGCUUUUUUUCAGUGUAAUAGAUGAAUUAAGAAGUUGGAGAAGAGUCUUGUUAUAUAUGGAGUGGUAAUUCGUGUUGAAAAAAUGGUUGAUAUUAAUAAAGAAGGGGGAGAUUUGGGAGUGUGGCCAUGGGGGUCGGAAAGCCCUGUGGUUGAUGAUAAGAUUAGACUCUUAACGAUGAGGCCAUCAGGAAUGUAAAAGAGUUUAGAGGGAAUAAAGAAGGGUGAUUCAGGAGACUCCAUGCAGUAUUGGGUUGCUUGUUCUCCAGCCAUUAAGGCAUGGAAGUUUCUGGGUUUUUGCCGUUGCUGUUAUUUGCAAAGUUGUUUGACCAAUAAAAAGGUUUUUUUUUUUUUUUUUUGGUGUGUUUUUUAAGAACUGCUGUGGGGAGAAGGGUGUNNNNNNNNNNGAAAAGGGGGGCCCGUCCCCAAAAAAAAAAAAAAAAAAAAAAAAAAAAGGCAACAUGAUAUAAUGAAGUUAUGUCAUCAAUAAAGAAACAAAAAGAAGGAAUGAAAAGGAACAGGCUAGCAGAACAGAGACCAGGAUGGGAACAUGCACACUGAUUGCCUCAUGAAGAUAGAUUCGGCCAGACUCAGCAGACUGCUCAAAGAAGCUCGUAGAGAAAGUCGCUGGAAAUAGGUGCACUGGAGCUGGGAAGAAGCUCAAGCUGAGAGAAGCAGACCUGUGCAUACAACUGCCUCUCGCUGGUAAGCAGUUGCGCAUUAUGGGGAAUCAUACGUCCUUAGAAACAAAGACUGUCCUGGUAGCCUUACAGCUUAUUCUCCUUAUUAACAAUUGGACAGUUUAUGAUCCUGAAAUACAGGACCAAAUUGAGGUCAAGGUGUGGGACUCUGCAACUAAAAGUGACAAGGUUGCGGCGGGAUUGCUCAGCACCUGGUGAGCAAUCUCUGAGGCCUUAAAGAGCCAUGUGGGGCCACAAUCAGAAACGUGGUUUGCCAGACAGCGAGGGAACUGCGGGCUCCUUUACUGAUCUGACUGCUACGCCAUGGGCCCCUCCGCUACUGCCAUCGAAGGUUUUUGCUGUUAUGCCCCCUGGUGACUUGGAUGUGCCUUUUGACCCAGGCCUUAUUGGCCUUGAAAUGGAGAUGGGUAUGUUUUUCUUCUAUCUGGGAAGAACGGGAUACAUAAAGCCCGAAGGCUGAGUUGCUUGACAACUUAAAGCAAGACGUAUUGUUCAAAAGGAAUAGAAAAUGGAGACUUGUUUGUAAUCAAGAAAAGGAAUGGAAAGGAUUGUUUGUUACCUUUUCUGAUUGUACAUAUGUAUAGGCAUACUCGAGUUCAGUAAGUCAUGGAGACUUGUUUGUAAUCAAGAAAAGGAAUGGAAAGGAUUGUUUGUUACCUUUUCUGAUUGUACGUUUGUAUAGGCAUACUCGGGUUUAGUAUGUAAAAGCAAUGUUCUAUAUAUAUUUAGAAAGUUUAAUGUUCGUGUGUGCGUGUUGGUGAAGCGUAGACUCCCCGCACACCCAGCGCUGUUUACUUGCCUUUUGUUUCUUUUAUAAAUAUUCCUUUUAUAAAUAUUACUAAAUUCAGAUUGAGUUGAGACUUCAUUUAUAAGUCUUAAUUUAAGGUCAUUAGAAGUAACAGUGUGUUUUGUUCUCAGACAAUGCAAAAAGAACACUCACCUAUGUGUGGCACUGUAGUUCAAACUCAAAGCCUGCUUGAGUAGUAGGAAUGCUUCUUCCAUCUGCCAGGAGAGAACUCUAUUUACAGCAUUUUCAAGCUAUCAUAACAGAGGUCAACCUUACCAAUUGCAAUUUUCUGUAUGGUUGUGACUCUCAUGUGAAAAAUAAAAAUCUCUCUGGAACUAUUUUGGAAAUUAAAUCUACAUUUUUAAUAGCUUUAGUAUGGCUCCUGCUGUGUCUUUCAGCAAACAUUUGCUGAGACUCUGUAUGAGAUUUGCCUUACUUUGCAUUUAAAAAACACUGCUCUUCACUUCUUGGGAGGUCAAGUGUCUGUAUUGAAUGAUCUAUACCUUUGAAAGUUCUUUCAGUUUUCUUUAUUACUGAUUGAAUGGCUUGACAAAAAGUUCGAGUUCAGCAUUGUGAUCUGAAAUUGAUUGUGAACAGACGCAUUCUAAUCAAACUUGGGCACAAAGUAAGAUAAUAUAGGGCUCUCUGCCAAGAACAGUCUGAUCUCAGCUCCUGAGAUCUUCAUACUGGAGCACAGCAGCCAGCAGCCCUUAGCUGUCCACAGAGAACAGUUGUUUUGCUAAGGUAAGAAUGGAGAAAAGUUUGUUGUUGGUGGUUUGUUUGUGGUGGACCUGGAUGGGGUAGGCUCCCAGGAGGUUUGGGUUGCCUUGUCCUGCACAGGUGGAAUUAGUGAAUGCCUUCCCACUUCACUAUCAUUAAGAAAGAAAGGCAAUAACACAAACACAGAACACAGUAGCUAAAUCAUCAUUGGAAAUAAAUAGUCACAGUAAAUCAAGC